Molecule: ribosomal RNA, 659 nt
Filed under: uncultured bacterium
Lineage: Bacteria
Description: bacterial SSU rRNA
Rfam family: Bacterial small subunit ribosomal RNA
Source: RNAcentral
AGCCUAAUACAUGCAAGUCGAACGCCCUCUUCGGAGGGAGUGGCAGACGGGUGAGUAACGCGUGGGAACCUACCCAGAGGUUCGGAAUAACUUCGGGAAACCGUAGCUAAUACCGAAUACGUCCUCCGGGAGAAAGAUUUAUCGCCUUUGGAUGGGCCCGCGUCGGAUUAGCUUGUUGGUGGGGUAACGGCCUACCAAGGCUACGAUCCGUAGCUGGUCUGAGAGGAUGAUCAGCCACACUGGGACUGAGACACGGCCCAGACUCCUACGGGAGGCAGCAGUGGGGAAUCUUGCACAAUGGGCGCAAGCCUGAUGCAGCCAUGCCGCGUGAGUGAAGAAGGCCCUAGGGUUGUAAAACUCUUUCAGCGGGGAAGAUAAUGACGGUACCCGCAGAAGAAGCCCCGGCUAACUCCGUGCCAGCAGCCGCGGUAAUACGGAGGGGGCUAGCGUUGUUCGGAAUCACUGGGCGUAAAGCGCACGUAGGCGGAUCAGUCAGUCAGGGGUGAAAGCCCGGGGCUCAACCUCGGAACUGCCCUUGAUACUGCUGAUCUUGAGAUCGAGAGAGGUGAGUGGAAUUCCUAGUGUAGAGGUGAAAUUCGUAGAUAUUAGGAAGAACACCAGUGGCGAAGGCGGCUCACUGGCUCGAUACUGACGCUGAG